GCAAUGGGCGAAAGCCUGACCCAGCAACGCCGCGUGAGGGAUGAAGUAUUUCGGUAUGUAAACCUCGAAAGAAUGGGAAGAAUAAAUGACGGUACCAUUUAUAAGCUCCGGCUAACUACGUGCCAGCAGCCGCGGUAAUACGUAGGGAGCAAGCGUUGUUCGGAUUUACUGGGCGUAAAGGGCGCGUAGGCGGCGCGGUAAGUCACUUGUGAAAUCUCUGAGCUUACCUCAGAACGGCCAAGUGAUACUGCUGUGCUAGAGUGCGGAAGAGGCAACCGGAAUUCUUGGUGUAGCGGUGAAAUGCGUAGAUAUCAAGAGGAACACCUGAGGCGAAGGCGGGUUGCUGGGCCGACACUGACGCUGAUGCGCGAAAGCCAGG
RNAcentral lists this ribosomal RNA (379 nucleotides) under uncultured bacterium. RNAcentral's name for it is "bacterial SSU rRNA". It matches the Rfam family "Bacterial small subunit ribosomal RNA", at positions 368 to 764 of the family's 1533-position model. The record is from RNAcentral.